This 2188-nucleotide long non-coding RNA is filed under the name Nicotiana tabacum (common tobacco). RNAcentral's name for it is "long non-coding RNA (NTAB_LNC014820)". The record is from RNAcentral. Lineage: Eukaryota; Viridiplantae; Streptophyta; Magnoliopsida; Solanales; Solanaceae.
UCAUAAUAUAAUGUUUAAACAGUUCUUUUGGCAAUUUUCCUAAAGAAGUAAACUAGGAAAUCCAUUUUAAAAGGGAGAGUUAAUAUUUCUAUUCAAAUCUAUAACAAACCGAAUCCUUUAUUCAAUUAUGUUUUAGUGCUUAACUAAACAUAAAUAAAGUGAGUAAAUGUAAUGAUCGCGAGGUGAGAGCAGUCCCUUUGGGGACAUCCGAUAUAAAAAAAGUUGAGACAGAGUACAUAGUUUUGGUUGAUUACAGGUAUCAAAGUAAACGACUUGCACCAUAAUAGGUUUGAGACGUUUUUGAGAGUUUGGUCAAAAUAGUUUUUGAGAAAAUAUCUUUAUUAUGAAAUAAUGAGCUUCCUGAAAAAGUAGUUGACUCAAUAUUAGAGUAGGGUAGGAAAAAUAAAUGAAUAGCCUACAAAUGCUCCUUCGGCAGUUAAAAUAGGUGCUGUUAUGCAAAUCUUUAAUUAUUACCGAAUAAUUGUACGUUUUCCUUCAGUUUUUACGCGAAUUUGAUAAUUCAAUUGAGCCUGAGGGGUAUAAAUGUGAUUUUGGCCAAAUAUGGCCGCAACUAAAGGAAUUUUAAUUCGGACGAAAUGGAAACAAGAAAUCUCGUUAAAAUUAUGAAAAAGGGUUAACAAUACCCCUCUACUAUUCAAAAAGGAUCAUUAGUCUUUCGUUAUACUAUUGAUCCAUUAUACUCUCUAACGUUAUAAAACCGGUACAAAAAUACCCAUUAGCCGUUAAGGCCCUCCACCAUGGCAACAUUAUCCCAUGUGGCUUGGCAUAUUAUUGACGUGGAUUCCACGUGGCAUGCCACCUCAUUGUCCCAAACCUCAUUUUACCCCACGCCCGCCCGUUCUUCCUCUAACACCACUACAAUUUCACUGCCACCACUUUGAACUCACCUCCACAAUCUCCAUUUGCCACCUCAAUAAUAUCAAUUCAACCAAAAAUAGUGUUAAGAAGAUGAAGUUCAAUGUCCGUAGGCAGAGGCGGAUCCAGAAUUUGAUGGUUCCGGGUGUCACUGUCUUUAAUGUAAACUUACCUCUAGUCAAAGUGGUCGAAUUAGGGUGUACAUUUGGCUAGUUCGCUCAGUUUUGAAUAAACUUGUUCGGUUCGGUUCGGUUCGUUCAAUUUUUCAAUUAAUUCGAUUCACUUCAUAAGAUAUUUGGUGCAUAAAUACACAUGUGAUAACAAAACUAAAAAUAUUUGGUCCUUGAAGGAAAAAAUAACAUUUGCCCGAUCAAAAGAAAAAUGAUUAAAACAUAUUGAAAUAUCAAAAUUCGAGAUUUAGAAAAGGAAAAUAAAAAUAAAUAUACUUUUAUAAUUUAAAUAACUAAUAAAGAAGGAAAUGUAUAAAGAGAGAAUACAAAGAUGAAAAUAAGAAACUAAGAGGAAAGAGAAGAAAAGAAAAUUAUGGAAAAAGAGGGAACAAGGAAAAGCAAAAUAAGUUUUGUUAAAAAAUGAGUGAGAGGAGAUUCAACUCUAGGUCUAAGGCCUAAGAAGAAGCACUUGGACUGUGGCACCUAUCAUAACAUUGUUCAUUAGGGUGCUACAAAAUUAUUUUGUACUUUUUUUACAUGAAAUAUCAGUGGAAUACCAGUACUAAUAUGAAAUUCUAUCGGAGCGAUCGGGUGACGUACCACAUCCUUCCCUCUACAUAGAUCCGCCCUUCCUGUAGGAGUUGGAGGCAUGAGGUUUAACAAUUACAGGGAACAGAAGCUAAAGCCACCUUCAACCCUAACUAAACAACAAAAUGGUUUAUUAAACUUGAAAACUGGAAGACACCCGGAACAAUUUCUAUGGAAUCUUGUAAAAAUAAUGCAUUUUUGGUUUCAUAAAUAAACUAUCGUGGACUUACCCUCAUAUAUUCCUCAGCAGAGACAGGUGCAUGUUGAUUUUCUACUUUAAAGUUUUGGUUCAAGUGUUCAACUUCUUCACCUUGGGGUAUUUUAUGCUUUCCACACAGAUUUGGUGCUUAUUCUUGUGUAUUUAAACUUUCUUCUGAAUUAGGUAUGCUGCAUUAAGAUUGUAAUUUUAUUACUGGGAUAUCUCAUUGACGCUAGACCAUGUACAAACCUGUGGUUGGUUUUGAAUUAUGGUGGUGGUUAGGUGGAGAGGGAGGUGGUGUUAGAGGAAGAAAGGGGAGGGAGGAAAAAAUGAAAUUGAGAUGAUGAGGUGGCAU